GACGAACGCUGGCGGCGUGCUUAACACAUGCAAGUCGAACGGAAAGGCCCUGCUUUUGUGGGGUGCUCGAGUGGCGAACGGGUGAGUAACACGUGAGUAACCUGCCCUUGACUUUGGGAUAACUUCAGGAAACUGGGGCUAAUACCGGAUAGGAGCUCCUGCUGCAUGGUGGGGGUUGGAAAGUUUCGGCGGUUGGGGAUGGACUCGCGGCUUAUCAGCUUGUUGGUGGGGUAGUGGCUUACCAAGGCUUUGAAGGGUAGCCCGCCUGAGAGGGUGACCGGCCACAUGGGGACUGAGAUACGGCCCAGACUCCUACGGGAGGCAGCAGUGGGGAAUAUUGCACAAUGGGCGGAAGCCUGAUGCAGCAACGCCGCGUGCGGGAUGACGGCCUUCGGGUUGUAAACCGCUUUCGCCUGUGACGAAGCGUGAGUGACGGUAAUGGGUAAAGAAGCACCGGCUAACUACGUG
Molecule: ribosomal RNA, 468 nt
Filed under: uncultured bacterium
Lineage: Bacteria
Description: partial 16S ribosomal RNA
Rfam family: Bacterial small subunit ribosomal RNA
Source: RNAcentral